CCUACGGGGGGCAGCAGUGAGGAAUAUUGGUCAAUGGCCGGAAGUCUGAACCAGCCAAGUCGCGUGAAGGAAGACGGAUCUAUGGUUUGUAAACUUCUUUUAUAGGGGAGUAAAGCUAUCCACGUGUGGAUAUUUGCAUGUACCCUAUGAAUAAGCAUCGGCUAACUCCGUGCCAGCAGCCGCGGUAAUACGGAGGAUGCGAGCGUUAUCCGGAUUUAUUGGGUUUAAAGGGUGCGUAGGUUGUUUUUUAAGUCAGAGGUGAAAGUUUGUGGCUUAACCAGAAAAUUGCCGUUGAAACUGGAAGACUUGAGUGUGUUUGAGGUAGGCGGAAUGCGUGGUGUAGCGGUGAAAUGCUUAGAUAUCACAAAGAACUCCGAUUGCGAAGGCAGUUCAC
Molecule: ribosomal RNA, 394 nt
Filed under: uncultured bacterium
Lineage: Bacteria
Description: partial 16S ribosomal RNA
Rfam family: Bacterial small subunit ribosomal RNA
Source: RNAcentral